RNAcentral lists this ribosomal RNA (539 nucleotides) under uncultured fungus. RNAcentral describes it as "eukaryotic LSU rRNA". The stretch from base 121 to 274 matches the Rfam family "5.8S ribosomal RNA". Lineage: Eukaryota; Fungi. The record is from RNAcentral.
UCCGUAGGUGAACCUGCGGAAGGAUCAUUAGAAAAUUCUCGCCAUUUUAUGGCGUUAAUAAUAACGUAUUCAAAAACAAAAACUCUUUUAAUCAAUCAAAUUAAAUUUUAAAUAAAUGAUAACUUUCAACAACGGAUCUCUUGGCUCUCGCAACGAUGAAGAACGCAGCUAACUGCGAUAAGUAAUGUGAAUUGCAGAAUUUUGUGAAUCAUCGAAUUUUUGAACGCAAAUGGCACUCUCUGGUAAUCCGGAGAGUAUGCUUGUUUGAGGGUCAACGAAAAUAAAUCACAGACAUUAUUAUUAUUAUUAUUCUGUGGAAUUGGGCAUUUCAAGGAAAAUUCAAUUCCGUUUUGAUUGCCUAAAAAUGUUUCUUGGUUCGUUAGAUGUGAACUAAAAUCUUUGGAUCUCUGAUAAUGAACCGCAAAUCACGCAUUAUGAUCAUUCAUUCUAACGGAUGAAGGUUCAUAUGCUAUUAAAUUAAUGACCUCAAAUCAAGUAAGAUUACCCGCUGAACUUAAGCAUAUCAAUAAGCGGAGGAA